CAUAAAAGGAAUGGCAUCGCUGCCCAGUAUAUAUAAUGUGAACAAAAGGAACAUAAAGAUGUUCCAUUCCAUUCAGAAUCCGAAACCACAAGAUGGCCUUAUAUUGAAGGAGAGAGGAGGAUGUGUAUCGCCCUAGAAGGUUGAUGGCAGCUCCUGACAGUGAUUAACAGAUGGUUCCCCUGCCAUCAGUGGACUUUUGUUGUGUUUUAACAGAGAGAUAAAGAUUUAUACUAUGUUAUACUGGGGGUAAAGGAACCGUGCAGUCGACAGACUAGCUGCUUGACUGUGAAGCCAAAGCCUGAUGUAGCUUUUUCCUCUGUGCCGUAGACGUCCAUUGUUCAAAACCAAAUCAAAAACACAUCAAUGAGCCACAUUGUAGCAGUGGGUGACAUGUUCCUCCAUUAUGAUUAACAUGAGUAUGGUAGCUUAUUCUGAUCCAAUCCCACCUACACUAGAUCUCCAAAUGUGUAACCAUCCGCCGCUGAAAAUAUUCCCAAACAAAUGCACAGUUUACUUCUGUUUUAGUACCAUUUGCUUAAAACUACAGUGCCCAACUGCUUUAGGAAAUCAGAGCAUUUCUGAGAGAUGAAUCUAUAUUAAGGCUGAAACUAACAAUUAUUUUCAUUGUUGAUUAAUCUGUCGAUUAUUUUCUCGAGUAAUCGAUUAGUUGUUUGGAAAAGGGUGAAAAUGUUGAUCAGUGUUUCCCAAAGCCCAAGAUGACGUCCUCAAAUGGCUUGCUUUGUCCACAACUUAAAGUUAAGUUAACUGUCACAGGAGUAAA
This is a long non-coding RNA of Sebastes umbrosus (honeycomb rockfish), 781 nucleotides long. RefSeq lists it as uncharacterized. The record is from RefSeq and is a predicted model, not a curated record. The transcript is spliced from 3 exons. Lineage: Eukaryota; Metazoa; Chordata; Actinopteri; Perciformes; Sebastidae.